UCUCACUUCUCGGCAAAUAAGUGAUUAUGAUGAUUAUAUUAUAUUAAUAAAUUAUAAUUUAUUACGAUCCACGAGCGCGGUUAACGUGAAACGACAACGACAAUAUUAUAGUGUCGUGAUGUGAUCGUCACACGCACGACACAUUAUAAUAAUAUUGAAGACAACGAAUGUAUUAAUAUAUGUAUAGUAUAUUAUUGAAGAUAAUCGCCGUUCGGUGACCGGAAUCGACAAAAUCCAAAUACGCGCCAUAUUAUCAGCUAUAUUAUGUAAUAUGUAUAGCAUCAGUCGGACCGGGAGGACGUGUGCCGCCGAGAGAAGCGGUGCCAGCGGCGGCAAACGGUCGUCGCGGAAACGGAAACGGUCUGACGGUGGCGCGCGCCUUGAAUAUCUAAUUGGGCCGAAACUUCCGAAUUCGAUCGCACACGAAAUUCGGAAACGCAGUGGGUCCGUCGGCGAGACAUCCGGUAGUGUACGUCGUCGUACGUAGGUACACGAUCGCGGUAUUGACCGAAAAUAAAACGAUGAUGACGACGACGACGACGACGAUGAAGACGACGCGCGACGGCCGGUAAACGCGUGGCAGCCGGUGUACACAGACGGAUGGUAUAAAACCGUAUUUUCGGGGGACACGGUGAAUCUGCCGGGUGUCAGGUAAAGAUACCGUCGUCGUUUCGGUGACUAUAUAGGUAACGUGUGUAAGAUUGACGGCGUGAUCAGCGGCGGAGGAGGAUCGUGGAAACAGCAGCCUCGCAGCAGCCCGUCGGCCCGUCAGAAACAGCAGCGGCCACGGACAGAACCAAGCAAAGCAGCUGUUGCGUGCACCUGGUGCCCAGGACGAUGACGACGUCGACAACGUCGACGACGACGGUGAAGACCUCGCGGGCCUUAACAUACACACACACAGCCACAGACACGUUUGGAUGAGGAGACGGCAGCUGGUCGAACGGUGAACAUUAAUAAUAUAUAUACAUAAACGCAUGUACACGAACCCGAGGAAGACAGUCGCGGGGCACAGACACACACACUACUAUACGAAUAAAAGGUACCUUUUUUCACCCCCCGCCCGCCCCCGCUAACCCGAUCGCGACGCACCCCGACCGACCGGUGUAAUAAUAUAAUAUAUAAAUAUACGAGUUAUAUAACAUGGCGAAACGCGUAUGUGUGUGCAUGUAUAGGUCCAACCGUGAUUUUCCCGCCAAAAAACCUCACCAUAUAAUAUUGACCUCGCCGGGCCGUCGGCACUCGGCACCCGCACACCACCUGCACACGCGACCUUAUACACCAAGAUUCCCGCCAAAAUACACCUGCUGCUGCCGGUUCUCUCUUUCUCUCUCUAUAUUAUAGAUACCUACCUACCUAUACCUUUAUUAUCACCUGCUUUUUUAUUUUAUAUAUGUGUAUUUUUUCCUUGCUGCCUGUGCUCGCGAACGUCUAUCGUUUCUCGACGUUCUCGUUGUAUACCUAUAUAUGUAUAUUAUUAUAAUAUAAAAUACAUGUGUGUGUGUGUGUGUAUGUGUAAAAAUCGGUUCUCCUAUACACUGCAACAGCUGUUCCGGCCACGGUGGCGUAUACAAUGAAAUAAUAAUAAAACCCUGUUGCUUGGCCAACAUAAAUAGAUAUACAAGCUUAUAUAAUUAUAUAUAUAUAUGAAGUAGGUUUAUGAUAUUAUGUGCAGUAGAAAAUUUUACCUAAAGUGCAGUUUUUUAGUGUGGUGUCUGUACGCAAAAAAAUGUAUAAUGUUCCAGACGACUGCGUCUAGAUAUAUAAUAUAGCCUAUAGGUAAGUAUAUAUAACUGAUGAACCAGCACUCGUGACAAGCCUAUACGAAGACAUACAACCUAUAUACACUGCUUAUUGUACCUAACCUUAAAAUAUAUAUUAUGAGGCCAUUACGUUCUGUAUAAUAAUAUAUUAUGUGUAAGACGCGCCCUGCAGACGUCGACCGUGUUACGCAAUAUCAUCGGGUGCUAUCGCGGUCCAGACGUACGCCGGGGUGUGCCGUGCUGAAGGUCAGACGACCCCCGUGGGAGAAGGACGUCGUCAUAGUAAAUAAUAAUAAGGGCUCGGAUUUAUGAACAUAAUAUAUAACUAUGAUGUGAGAUCACGUAUAUUUUUCAAAAUCACGAUUGGCCGAUUUUGACACGCGUUUCAAGAUACUUAAAGCGCUAUUUUUUUUUUUUUGUACAGACAGUUAUAUG
This is a long non-coding RNA of Acyrthosiphon pisum (pea aphid), 2198 nucleotides long. RefSeq lists it as uncharacterized. The transcript has 3 exons. The record is from RefSeq and is a predicted model, not a curated record. Lineage: Eukaryota; Metazoa; Arthropoda; Insecta; Hemiptera; Aphididae.